RNAcentral lists this ribosomal RNA (508 nucleotides) under uncultured bacterium. RNAcentral's name for it is "partial 16S ribosomal RNA". It matches the Rfam family "Bacterial small subunit ribosomal RNA", at positions 28 to 507 of the family's 1533-position model. The record is from RNAcentral.
GACGAACGCUGGCGGCGUGCUUAACACAUGCAAGUCGAACGGGCCUUGUCCCCUUUUUUUUUGGGGGUGGGGUUAGUGGCGAACGGGUGAGUAACACGUGAGUAACCUGCCCCUCACUUCUGGAUAACCGCUUGAAAGGGUGGCUAAUACGGGGGGUUUUGGCCUGUCCGCAUGGGUGGGUUUGGAAAGAUUCGACCGGUUUUGGUGGUUUUGGUGGGGGAUGGGCUCGCGGCCUAUCAGCUUGUGGGUGGGGGGAUGGCCUGCCAAGGCUUUGACGGGUAGCCGGCCUGAGAGGGUGGGCGGUCACACUGGGACUGAGACACGGCCCAGACUCCUACGGGAGGCAGCAGUGGGGAAUAUUGCACAAUGGGCGCAAGCCUGAUGCAGCGACGCCGCGUGAGGGAUGGAGGCCUUCGGGUUGUGAACCUCUUUCGCCAGUGAAGAAGGUCCUGCUCUUUGUGGUGGGGUUGACGGUAGCUGGGUUAAUGAAGCGCCGGCUAACUACGUG